Small nuclear RNA from Ursus americanus (American black bear), 91 nucleotides. The record is from Ensembl. NCBI's taxonomy places the organism in Eukaryota, Metazoa, Chordata, Mammalia, Carnivora, Ursidae.
GUGCUCACUUUAGUAGCACAUAUACUAAAAUGGGUUAGCAUGGCCUCUGUACAAGGAUGACAUGUAAUUCCUAAAGCAGUCCAUAUUUUUU